RNAcentral lists this long non-coding RNA (271 nucleotides) under Gossypium barbadense (sea-island cotton). RNAcentral describes it as "long non-coding RNA (GBAR_LNC004815)". Lineage: Eukaryota; Viridiplantae; Streptophyta; Magnoliopsida; Malvales; Malvaceae. The record is from RNAcentral.
UUUUCCAAGUGAAGGCUUUCCAUUAUUCUUCCUUUGCUUCACUAACCUUUGAAAGAAAUAAAAACCCGACUGUUCUUUCUCUCUUAUGGUUAUUUUAACUUCUUGGAUAGCAAUACUAGAUUCUGAAAAAUAAGAUUUUCUUUCAAAGAUGAAAAAUAUUGGUGUAUGUUUUAAGAAUGAAGAUUGAUUCUCAACAGCUAUGCUUCUUCAGUUUCUAGCUUUUCCAUUACAGGAGGGUGUUGAAAAUAUGGCAAAAUUUCGAUUCAAAGCC